GGGGAGAGCAAUGCGGGAGGUGAUGGGGUCAGUGGAGCGAGCCAGGACCCUGCCCUCGUCCCGCGCCUGCCCAGGAGUUCCUUGGGGCCAGUGUCGCAACCCCUGUGCACUCCGGAGCCUUUGCCUGGCCAGCCCUCACCACGGUCCCACCGGGUCAUCCCUCAUCCCUCGAAAGCGCCAGCCCAGCUCCAAGCCCUCCUCCAUGCUGGGCAGAGUCCAGCGCAGGCGCCUCCCACCCCAGCGAACUUUGGCCCCAGCCCGGGAGCAGCUCAGACGGAGGACCACGCAGGAAGGCGUGCAGAGAGACUGCUGGACCUCGAGGUUGAGGGAAACAGGAUGGCCUUUCCGCUCCCACCCUGUGAGCUGGGACAGCGACACUGACAAGUAGGACCUAGGGCUUGCCAGACAGGCGCUGUGCCGCUGAGCUAAAUCCCCAGCCCAACCUUGUGGUCUUGAACCAUCACUCGGAAACCCCGCUGCUGGACGUCACAUCUGCAAGCCUGGGUGGUCGGACUGGCCUGGAGGAUCUGUCGCCUCCACAGGACAGAGGGACGCUGCAAUUUCUACACAGGUGCUAAGCCUCCGAUACACAUUCCACAUGUGUCUCCAUCUACCUAAAGGUCCACAGAUCCUGCUCCAGAGUCACUUUCCUCAACCUCAAACGGCUACAGGCGGGGGCGGCCACACCACACACCCUCCCCCCCCUCCCCCGCAGAUAUUGCUGUUUUUCUUUUCAUGCCGGAGUCCCCCGCCCGCCCCACCUCCCAGCCCCAACGGCAGGGGCGGUGCCCACAGGCCGCCCCGCCCCCCGCCUCGGCCAAUCAGCGGCUGCCGCACACCCGCGCCAGGACCAACCGGCGGCAGCCCGCAGCCCCGCCCCCUCACCUACAGCAGGCGGCCCGGGAUCCGCACCUCUGUGCCUUCCUUCCCUAAACCCCGGAGGCCCGGCUGCAGCCCCGUCUCCCUCUGACCCAGCUGUCUCAACCUUGCUUCCCUGGGGCGGCCACCUUCUCACUGCACCGGCCCGGAUCUCGAAGCUCCUUUUCCCUUAGGGCCAAGAAUAAAGAGGCCUUUUUGCUUCUCUUCUAUUAUCUCCUAA
Molecule: long non-coding RNA, 1099 nt
Organism: Chinchilla lanigera (long-tailed chinchilla)
Lineage: Eukaryota; Metazoa; Chordata; Mammalia; Rodentia; Chinchillidae
Exons: 4
Source: RefSeq, a predicted model, not a curated record